CCUACGGGAGGCAGCAGUGAGGAAUAUUGGUCAAUGGACGAGAUCCUGAACCAGCCAAGUCGCGUGAAGGACGACUGCCCUAUGGGUUGUAAACUUCUUUUGUAUGGGAAUAAAAUACGUUAUGCAUAGCCUUUUGUAAGUACCAUAUGAAUAAGGAUCGGCUAACUCCGUGCCAGCAGCCGCGGUAAUACGGAGGAUCCGAGCGUUAUCCGGAUUUAUUGGGUUUAAAGGGUGCGUAGGUGGUUUGUUAAGUCAGUUGUGAAAGUUUGCGGCUCAACCGUGAAAUUGCAGUUGAUACUGGAAGUCUUGAGUACGGUAGAGGUAGGCGGAAUGCGUGGUGUAGCGGUGAAAUGCAUAGAUAUCACGCAGAACUCCGAUUGCGAAGGCAGCUCACUGGACUGCAACUGACACUGAUGCACGAAAGUGUGGGUAUCGAACAGGAUUAGAUACCCGUGUAGUC
RNAcentral lists this ribosomal RNA (460 nucleotides) under uncultured bacterium. Its description in RNAcentral is "partial 16S ribosomal RNA". It matches the Rfam family "Bacterial small subunit ribosomal RNA", at positions 338 to 795 of the family's 1533-position model. The record is from RNAcentral.